UGUUAAGAUGGUUAAACUAUAAAGUUUAUAUUUUUGACCUUUCACUUUAAUUUUCUAGAGUAUGCAAAGACACGUGUUGAGGUGAUCCACCAUCACAAUGGUAAACGUGGGAGCGGAUCUGACAGCAGCAACGAAAAAAGUGGUUCUAGCGGAAGCGGAUCUAGAGGGAGCAGGGAGAAGAAAAGGUACAGAAGAUCCACGGAGAGCCUCGAGAACACAAGUAGCCUGGAGGACUGAUCAAAAUAUUCUACAUCUGAUUAUGUGCAAUUAAAAGUGUUAAUAAAGGAAUUUAUCUCAA
This is a long non-coding RNA of Magallana angulata, 298 nucleotides long. RefSeq lists it as uncharacterized. Lineage: Eukaryota; Metazoa; Mollusca; Bivalvia; Ostreida; Ostreidae. The record is from RefSeq and is a predicted model, not a curated record. The transcript is spliced from 2 exons.